RNAcentral lists this ribosomal RNA (253 nucleotides) under uncultured bacterium. RNAcentral describes it as "partial 16S ribosomal RNA". It matches the Rfam family "Bacterial small subunit ribosomal RNA", at positions 524 to 776 of the family's 1533-position model. The record is from RNAcentral.
GACAGAGGGGGCAAGCGUUGCUCGGAAUCACUGGGCGUAAAGGGCGCGUAGGCGGGAGGGCAAGUCGGUCGUGAAAUCCUUCGGCUCAACCGAAGAACGUCGGCCGAAACUGCUUUUCUUGAGGGAUGCAGAGGAGACUGGAAUUCCCGGUGUAGCGGUGAAAUGUGUAGAGAUCGGGAGGAACACCGGUGGCGAAGGCGGGUCUCUGGGCAUCUCCUGACGCUGGGGCGCGAAAGCGUGGGGAGCAAACGGG